RNAcentral lists this ribosomal RNA (591 nucleotides) under Cynoglossus cynoglossus (Bengal tongue sole). Its description in RNAcentral is "partial 16S large subunit ribosomal RNA". It matches the Rfam family "Bacterial large subunit ribosomal RNA", at positions 1812 to 2610 of the family's 2925-position model. The record is from RNAcentral. Lineage: Eukaryota; Metazoa; Chordata; Actinopteri; Pleuronectiformes; Cynoglossidae.
AACAUCGCCUCUUGAAACAUUUACAUAAGGAGGUCAUGCCCUGCCCCAGUGAUAAUAAUUCAACGGCCGCGGUAUUUUGACCGUGCAAAGGUAGCGUAAUCACUUGUCCCUUAAAUGGGGACCCGUAUGAAUGGUUUGACGAGGGCUUGACUGUCUCCUUUUUCCAAUCAAUGAAAUUGAUCUCUUCGUACAAAAGCGAAGAUUACUAUAUAAGACGAGAAGACCCUGUGGAGCUUAAGAUUAAUUAAUAGACUAUGCCUAGAUAUCUGCACAACAGACUAAAAGCCUAAAGCUUACUAUAAAAAUCUUCAGUUGGGGCGACUACGGAGUACACAAAACCUCCGAGAAGACCGAGAACAUUUAUUCUCAAAACCUAGAGCCACUACCCAAAGUAACAGAAAUUCUGACUUUAAUUGAUCCAAACACUUGAUCAACGAACCAAGUUACCCCAGGGAUAACAGCGCAAUCCCCUUUAAGAGUCCUUAUCGACAAGGGGGUUUACGACCUCGAUGUUGGAUCAGGGCAUCCUGAUGGUGCAGCCGCUAUCAAGGGGUCGUUUGUUCAACGAUUAAAGUCCUACGUGAUCUGAGU